Apis florea (little honeybee) is the source of this 3512-nucleotide long non-coding RNA. The record is from RefSeq and is a predicted model, not a curated record. NCBI's taxonomy places the organism in Eukaryota, Metazoa, Arthropoda, Insecta, Hymenoptera, Apidae.
UCGUCCGAAAUUGAUCUCGACAACGAUGCACUUUCCCUUUUGGUAAAAAUUACCGGUCGGUAAUUUUUCAACGCGCGACAAGUGGGAUCCGCCAACGCGCUUGCACACGACGCGUGCACACGUAUAUGCACAGGUGGCCUUCCAUUGGCCCGCUUCCCGGAGACAUUUUCAUCUGCGGUGAACAGCGAAGAUCGUUGACCGUUACAGGGAGAUACCGAUUAAAAAGUGAACGAACGUGAGGAGGGAGGGAGAAGGACGGAGAGACGUGGAAGAGGCGAAGGAGGGAGAGAGAGAGAGAGAGAGAGAGAGAAAGAGAAAGGUAACGCAACGUAAUGGAAAUGUGGAUAUGCGGUUGGCGCGUGCGCCUGCAGUAGGGCAGGGCAAGACGACAGCUGUUUCAGUCCUGAGGCAACAUCAGUGUUGCACCUGCCUACUUGCUUGCUUGCUUGCUUGCCUGCCUGCUUGCCUGCCUGCUUGCUUGCUUGCUUGCUUCCUCGCUUGUCUGACUGCUUGCCCGCUUGCCUGCCUGCCCGCCUGCUAGCUCGCUCGCUUCCUUGCUACCUCGCUCGCCUGCUUGCCACAUAACCUAUAACCACUUUUAGCAGACUCUUCGUCUCUUAUUAGGUUCACUGAUCUCCUCCAUUUCUUUCCUUCUCUUCUUCUUUGCUUUAAUAGCGUUUGAAAAGAGGGAGAUGUGGAUGAGAGAUUGUGCGGACGGAUUGCUCUUUUUCUUUCUUUUUUCGAACGGUCCAUGGAUGGUGGUUUUUUUGGGUUUGAAGUUGCGGAGACUGAAGUGGUUUCUUGGAUCGUGAUCGAGGCAGGGAGGAAGAAAGAAGAUACUCGAUUGAGACACGAUUUUGAAAUUCAAGAAUUCUUUAGGAUUCUUUUCUUCGGUUAUUCCUUUAAACGGAGAUUUAUAAGUGAAAUUGCAAGACGUUUGAAGAGGUUUGUGGAAUCUCUUUCUGCUCGAAAUUAGGCUCGUGAUCCUCCAAUUAUACCGCGGCUCAUAGACCGUAUAUAAUUUGAAAUAGCCGGCAUGCUUCGGAUACACGUUUCGGGCGUAAUAAAUUUCGUCCAGGUACAGUCUUUAUGCAGUAAGACGGGCCUGGUAGCACGUGUUAAGAAGUUUAACGCUUUAUUUUCGGUUGCUGUAUGCAUAGUUGGGUGACGCCUAAUGUAUCGGACGUAUCGGCGCCCGCAUAAGCAAGCGUGGCACGCGUCACGACGCCUCGUCGCCGAUAAACAAGGCGCUGGAAACCAAAGAAGAAUUUUUAUAUCCCUCUUCGAAAGAUGAGAUGUCUGUUCGCCGAGAGAAAAUAAGCAAAGUUGUCGAUGUCCGUCUUUGGCAUUACCUGUUCCACUUUUUGGAACAGUUUUCAUCUCACUUUGUUUAGAAUUGGAUUUAUUUUUAUUAUUCGAAUGAAAUGAAAUUUAUGAUCUGGUGCAAAUUAAUAAUAAUAAUAAUAAUCUAUAAAACUUUUUUGGUUUCAAAAAAAAAGAAAGAUCAAAGUGUUUAAAAAGUAAUGGUUUUCUUUAAGACCAUGCUUGAAUUAAACGAAAUGCAAAUUAUUAAUGAUAAUAAUAAUAUUAUCAUGGAAUGAAAAAGAAGGAAAGAUUGGAAUGGAAAUUUGAACGAUUGAUCUGAUUUCACAGCGUUCGAGUCUAUGAAGGUAUCGAUCGUGCAUAUCGAUCGAUAGAUCCCAAUUCAUGUGGCAAUAAGAGUGGCGACUUAGAAGGCAAUCGCUGUCACUGCAGGCCUACUUCAUGACGGAAGUUUCUUGGCCAAUCAAUCCGUCGAUUCUUGGUCAACAGGUCACUCGGAUCAAAUGGAAGAGAAAAUUAAUGUUGCCCACCAACAUGGAAUGGCCUCUGCUUUUCGUUUACUCCCCCGACGAAUCAUCCUUCGAUUCGAUUUAAAAUACCAGAAAUUGUAUUCAAAAUUACGUCACUUUUCCCCAAUUUCUCUCUCCCCUCUUCUCUCAAACUUGAAAUAUUCCAUCUAGCAUUUUUCCAUUCCCUUAAUAAUAAAGAUAGAUUAAAAUUCUACGUGUCUAUAAAUUCAAUAAAUUUUAGGGAGUUUUAAUUUCAAAGAAAUUGAUUUUUCAUCUCUCUGAAAGGAAAAAAACAAUAAUUUCUACUUUCAACAAAUCAACAACGAAAUUGUCGGGCAAAAUUCUUCGCUUCCCCUUAAUCCAAAAUCUACAGACGAGUUUAUCGAAUGGGAGAAGUUGUCGUCGUACUACUCGCGAUCGAAGUCACGCUAAAAAUCACGUUUAAUUCGCACCUUCGUUGCUUAUUAAAUCCCGAUCUAAUCGCACAGAUUACGAUAACAAAUUUUAAGUAAGAAUUUUCUCGUAUUAUCGUCCAGAUGUGUCGUACAGGCUUGGUGUUUAGACCUAACUAUAACGGCUCUUUCUCCUUACAAAAAGCGAGCGAUUCGUUCCUUUCGGAUUCUGUCAACUGCGAUUUUUAAAAGAGAAAAAAUUCGGAAAAUUUAAAUGCGAAGGAAUUUACUUUACAGGAUAAAUAGUUUAUUGGAGAAUAUUUCUUAUAUUUUAUAAUUUAGAGGACGAGUGAGAUUAUAGAAUAGGAUUUUUCAAAAUUUAAGGAAAUGAAUUUUAACACGAUCGUUACGAUAUAAAUAAUUAUACAAUAAUCCUUGAAAAAUGAUAUAGGAAAAAAGGAAUAUUUUAUCACGAAUUCCAUUCCAAAAGGAGGGCAACAUCGCGUUGCAAAAUCUUGAUCAUUCCAUGCUUAAUCAAUUGGACUAAUGAACUGUCUCGACUUGAUAAAUAACCACGCUAAAUGUUUCAAUGAGAGAAUUUCGACAAAGAUGACCGAGAUGAUCUAAUGGUAAUUGAUUAAAAAUUAUACUUUUAAUAGAAACAUAAAGGAGAAAAAAAAUUUGCGAUCAAUUAAUCGUCCGAUAAUCAAGUCAUUUUGAAAAGAUAAAUUGAUUAAAUUAUCGUGAGGGAGUAAUAACGUGAGUGAAAAUAAGACAGGAAUAGGAAUAGAAGAAGAAAGAGAAAGAGAGAGAGAGAGAGAGAAAAGAAGUUCCAAUUUUUUUCUUUUUUCCUCUUUUUCAAAAAGGUAUAAUUAUUCUUUUUGCGAAUGAACGAACGAAGCUGCGCCCACAACGAACAGGCGAUGACAGAUGUUGCAGCCGCAUUAGAUAAUUAAUCUGAUGGGAGGGAGGGAAGGAUACGCCGAAUGACGGGGCGUGGAGGGACGAUUAUCGAGCUCGUUUAGUUUUAUUAGAUGCCUAACCUCUCCACUUCUUGCUGCCCUUUUUCACCCCCGUGAUUUCUAUCUGGUCUGGAUCAACGGAUAUCUAAAUCUAUAUAUAUAUAUAUAGUGAGACAUAGAGAUCCUGUGAAAGCAACAACGAUCCCGCAAACUUCCUUCUGAGAUCGAUUCCAGGAAAGCCAAUUAGAGGAAGAAGUCGGUGAUCGAUCAGCACGUGAAGAGGGUGAAAGUAAAAAGAAAAAAGGAAAGAGAGAGAGAGAGAGAGA